This is an unclassified non-coding RNA of Chlorocebus sabaeus (green monkey), 299 nucleotides long. It matches the Rfam family "Metazoan signal recognition particle RNA". Rfam says of the family: The signal recognition particle (SRP) is a universally conserved ribonucleoprotein. The record is from Ensembl. Lineage: Eukaryota; Metazoa; Chordata; Mammalia; Primates; Cercopithecidae.
GCCAGGUGUGGUGGUACGAACUUGUAGUCUCAGAUACUCAGGAGGGUGAGGCAGGAGGAUCGCUUGAGACAGGGAGUUCUGGGCUGUAGUGCGCUAUGCCAAUCAGUUUCCGCACUAAGGUCAGCAUCAAUUUGGUGACCCUCCUGGGAGCAAGGGACCACCAGGUUGCCUAAGGAGGCGUGAACCGGCCCAGGUCAGAAAUGGAGCAGGUCAAAAUUCCCAUGUUGAUCAGUAGUGAGAUGGUGCCUGUGAAUAGCCUCUGCACUCCAGCCUGGGCAACAAAGCAAGCCCAUCACUAA